This 280-nucleotide unclassified non-coding RNA is filed under the name Hevea brasiliensis (rubber tree). Lineage: Eukaryota; Viridiplantae; Streptophyta; Magnoliopsida; Malpighiales; Euphorbiaceae. The record is from RNAcentral.
GAUCUGGGUCAUGAAAAUUUUCAUGAGCUAAUGUUGCCUGAAUCUUUGGCUAGUGAAAAUCCAAUGUUUUGUACUGUUUUCAAGUAUAUGGAUUCAACAAUUGGUGUUGUUAUGAGGAAUUAUGUUAACUUUUCUGACACUGAUAUAUGGGUGAUGAAAAAGUAUGGUGUCACAGAGUCAUGGACAAAGAUACUAACUAUUGGCAGAUAUGAGGGUGGUGUUCCAAGGGCACUGGGCUUUAGGAGGAAUGGUGAUGUGCUUUUUGAACUAUUUCAUGGGG